Molecule: ribosomal RNA, 101 nt
Filed under: bovine gut metagenome
Source: RNAcentral
GUGUUGAUGACACAGGGGGUCCACCCGUUCCCAUGCCGAACACGGAAGUUAAGCCCUGUAGUGCCGAAAAUACUCGGAUGGUGACGUCCCGGGAAGAUAGG